Molecule: ribosomal RNA, 449 nt
Filed under: uncultured bacterium
Lineage: Bacteria
Description: partial 16S ribosomal RNA
Rfam family: Bacterial small subunit ribosomal RNA
Source: RNAcentral
CUACGGGGGGCUGCAGUGGGGAAUAUUGCGCAAUGGGCGAAAGCCUGACGCAGCAACGCCGCGUGAGUGAUGAAGGCCUUCGGGUCGUAAGGCUCUGUCGGGAGGGAAGAACACCUUCGGGUCUGACGGUACCUCCCGAGGAAGCACAGGCUAACUCCGUGCCAGCAGCGGCGGUAAUACGGAGUGUGCAAGCGUUGUUCGGAAUUACUGGGCGUAAAGCGCGCGUAGGCGGCUUGAUAAGUCAGAUGUGAAAUCCCUCGGCUUAACCGAGGAACUGCAUUUGAAACUGUCAGGCUUGAGUACGGGAGGGGGAAGCGGAAUUCCCAGUGUAGAGGUGAAAUUCGUAGAUAUUGGGAGGAACACCAGCGGCGAAGGCGGCUUCCUGGACCGAUACUGACGCUGAGGCGCGAAAGCGUGGGGAGCAAACAGGAUUAGAUACCCUCGUAGUC